Molecule: ribosomal RNA, 253 nt
Filed under: uncultured bacterium
Lineage: Bacteria
Description: partial 16S ribosomal RNA
Rfam family: Bacterial small subunit ribosomal RNA
Source: RNAcentral
UACGUAGGGUGCGGGCGUUAAUCGGAAUUACUGGGCGUAAAGCGUGCGCAGGCGGUUUUGUAAGCCAGAUGUGAAAGCCCCGGGCUCAACCUGGGAAUGGCAUUUGGGACUGCAAGGCUGGAGUUUGGCAGAGGAGACUGGAAUUCCUGGUGUAGCAGUGAAAUGCGUAGAUAUCAGGAGGAAUACCGAUGGCGAAGGCAGGUCUCUGGGCUAUAACUGACGCUGAGGAGCGAAAGCAUGGGGAGCGAACAGG